AGGGGUGUAGCUCAACUGGCUAGAGCACCGGUCUCCAAAACCGGGGGUUGGGGGUUCGACUCCCUCCGCCCCUGCCA
RNAcentral lists this transfer RNA (77 nucleotides) under Alphaproteobacteria bacterium. RNAcentral describes it as "tRNA-Trp". It matches the Rfam family "tRNA". From Rfam's summary of the family: Transfer RNA (tRNA) molecules are approximately 80 nucleotides in length. Their secondary structure includes four short double-helical elements and three loops (D, anti-codon, and T loops). The record is from RNAcentral. Lineage: Bacteria; Pseudomonadati; Pseudomonadota; Alphaproteobacteria. RNAcentral also lists the same sequence under 3 other names.